GUAGGUGGCAAGCGUUGUCCGGAAUUAUUGGGCGUAAAGCGCGCGCAGGGCGGUCCUUUAAGUCUGAUGUGAAAGCCCACGGCUCAACCGUGGAGGUCAUUGGAAACUGGGGGACUUGAGUACAGAAGAGGAAAGCGGAAUUCCAAGUGUAGCGGUGAAAUGCGUAGAGAUUUGGAGGAACACCAGUGGCGAAGGCGGCUUUCUGGUCUGUAACUGACGCUGAGGCGCGAAAGCGUGGGGAGCAAACAGGAUUAGAUACCCUGGUAGUCCACGCCGUAAACGAUGAGUGCUAAGUGUUAGGGGGUUUCCGCCCCUUAGUGCUGCAGCUAACGCAUUAAGCACUCCGCCUGGGGAGUACGGCCGCAAAGGCUG
RNAcentral lists this ribosomal RNA (372 nucleotides) under uncultured organism. RNAcentral's name for it is "partial 16S ribosomal RNA". It matches the Rfam family "Bacterial small subunit ribosomal RNA", at positions 527 to 896 of the family's 1533-position model. The record is from RNAcentral.